This 15714-nucleotide long non-coding RNA is filed under the name Gallus gallus (chicken). RNAcentral describes it as "lncRNA (ENSGALG00010020592.1)". The record is from RNAcentral. Lineage: Eukaryota; Metazoa; Chordata; Aves; Galliformes; Phasianidae.
ACGGCAGCCGCCGGGCACGGCGUUGGGAGGCUGCGGCUGCGGGCAGCGCCGCGUGCUUCGGGCCUUCGGGUGGUCACCAACACUGCUCGCAUCGCUUCGGGCUUCUUUGCCCCAGGCCGAACAGAGCCGGGUCGCUCAGCCUUCCCUCGCCGGGAGAUGCUCUGUGUAUCUUUGCGUCCCUCCGCCGGGCUCCUUCCGGGAUGCCGCGAACAUUCUUGAGAGGAUGUCACAGCCUGCUGAGGAGCCCCGGAGCUGAUCAGCGCCUCUUUGGCCCACCAGACACGCCUGGAGAAACCUCAGCAUGUGCCAGCACUCAGACUGCUCCCUCACUUAGUUCCCUCGCCAUGCUUGCAGCUGGGCGCUACACCAGGUGCUCCUCAGUUCCCAGAGCUGUUGCACCUACUGCGUGUCAAACAUCAGCAUCAGAGGAAUGGCAAAGUUGUAGAAAGUGGUAUUACUGCUACCUAUCGCUACCUCUGCAGUUUCUAAUAGUGGCAUUACAAAGCAGAAAGUUUCUUGUGCUGAGCAAACGCAUACACAAGUCAUGGUGCACUGCUAAAGAGAAGUUUCAGAGCAAAAAUCCAAGGAACCCAUCUUUUAAAUCUUAUUUUAUAUGAAUGAGACAGACUGAGAAGCCUUUCUUCCAUCCAAACUUCACAGCACUCAAAUACCUCCUGGUCCAAGCUGGUACACGCUAAGGAUUUUACCUUAUCCUCAAUUACUCCAACUUGUUAAAACCAACUACAGCAAGCAAAACUUAUGCUGUACUCCAUGGAGAGUCCCCAGGGAUAACACAAAAUGAAGCCUGUUUGGUGAUAUACAUUUACUAAAUUCGUGGAAGACCAACAAGUCCGGCUUCUAGAAAUCCAGAGAUGCAGAAUUCCAGAGCCAGGAACAGAAGAUAAGAUCCUGGAAACAGCAGUGGAUAUGCUAACAAAGUGCUGCCACAACACGUGUUUGUUGGGCAACGAGUUUAAAGCACUUCAACAUCAGUGACGUUCCCCAUACAGUCAUCUACACAGAGCAUUCUGUUGUUGGUUUUGGACUAUCUGACUAUGCAUAUUAGGCAACAGUUCCAUUCUAGGGCUCAGUUACGGCCACAUUAACAGCUGAGUCACAUCUACUUACCUUGAAACAAGAAUAAAUACGGAUAAAACACAAUGUGACACUUAAUGCUGACCAAAUACACAUUUAGUGUUCGCUAUCCUAAAAGGAUAAGACUUGUACCCAUCCUUAUUAGUGAACAAAUUAAGCAGCAGGUAUGAUUAUUACUAUGUCAAAAGAAGCAAUGCUCUACAGCACAAGGCAGGGCUGGGUUAACCCCAAACUGGUUCUCCCCAUCCGUAUCACCAGCCCAACAUCCAGCUUCUGCUCCGCUACUACAGGGCAUUGCCUGCAAUCCCAACAGUGAAAUAAAAAGACCAGGGGGCCACAAUAGCCAGCAGGUGGUUGGAUCUGCCUCCCUCUUUUGACCGCUUGCCCAGCAUUUACAUCACAACAGCAGCAUGUUUUCCUGACCUCAGGUUUGGUCUGAGCAAACAACAGGCUGGGGAGAGCAGGCAGCAAUGCAAGAGGACGGCAGGACCCCACUCACAGCCCCUCUGGAGCACCACGAUUCCAUAGGACUGCAGUUAUACUCAGAUUAUCUUUGCCUGUUCAGUAGUGCAGGCCUUUCAUUGCUGUUUGAGGUUCUGAGUAGGAUGCCCAAUUAAUUCAAAUCCUUCUGUACCUCCUUUCUUGCCUUUCCUCUUCCCCUUGAGUUCACACAGUCAUUCAUGAUACCCUACGAUUCUAAGAUGGAUUUGUGAUAGAAGCCCUUUGCAGAAAUGCAUGUAUUAUCCAAGCAGCACCUCGCUUUGCUUCAAUUCAUUUCCUACUCCUAGGUGUAAGUCGCACUCAGGCUUCCUUUGCAGUCAGAGAUGAAGAGAAAGACAAGUAUCCACAGAAGGCAGAGGAAGGCUGGAAUGAGCUGAAGAUGAGAUCAAGGGGAAAAGGCUUUGUUGGCAUUUGUGAAAGCUAUUAGUUGCUGAGCCACUGCCUUCAUUGUAGAUGAAUAAAAAUCCUCUUCAAGUAUUCACCCAAGGUAGUAAAUAUCAUACUAGAACCCCUUUCUUUUUCCCCACCCAACUCACAGCAUUAAAAGUGAUUAAUUUCUAUCACAAUAACGAGUCCUUUCCCUGCACUGACUUCCCCACACACCAGACCUUACCUUCAGUAAGGCAGAAAUGCAUCGUCUGAAACUUCAUUUUGCUUUGUUUUUUAAAGCUCACAGACAUGCUACUGAGCACAAAUAGAAUACAAACACUCCAGUCAUUUCUCUUCCCCUUUGUAUAAUCAUUUAUCCUGAACUUCGGAGUGCAUUAGGUUCAGGCACAGUAAAACAAGCCCAGCAUACACAGGAGCUCGGUUUGCUUGGUCACUGUGAGUGAGGCCACGCAUUGGAAUGCAGUUCCACAUAGCUGCACAUGCUAAUUCAGCCUUCCUGUAUUUCAGAACCUGAUUCUGCCCAGGUGAGGACCCACCUUCCUUUACAAACAUCCACACUUGCUAUACUUUCCAGUUAAGACAUCCCACAGCUGCCAACAGGCACUUCUUGCAUCUAUUUUCACUCAAAUUAACUGUCAGCUCUGAACACCUACUUGACUCCUAAUGCUGCCUUGGAGCAGACAGCAGCCACAGCACUCACACACACAGCAUUCCAAAACACAACUCUUACUGGUUUUGCCCAUACUGCUGUACUUCCCAGAGCUCUUAGCUAGCAGAAGUUGAAGCAUUAAUAAACACAAAUAUUCAUUUCCUAUGGGUUUCCAUUCAUAAGGCCAUCUGAGAUAGGAAAGCAAAUAGUUAAGGAACAAUGGCAGAAACAGAACGUUUUUGAGACGACUGCAAAAAGAGCAGAAAUGAUGUAAGAAAAACAAGGCUCCAUCAUCUGUGGUUUUCAAGAAGGGAGCCAUUCAUGAAGUAUGGAGAAAAGAGAAAAACGUAUUUUAUUCCCCUCCUCGGGGGGCUCUUAAAUAUACACCGUAUGUUGCAAGCUUUUUGUGGGAACUUUCAAAGAGAGAAAUGCAGCACAUGAGCAGCAACAACACUCCAAGGCUCUGAACGUUCUCCCAGCUCAUGUCCCACCAUCCAUUCCAUGUAAAGAUCUGUGCUUUGCACUUCACUCAGAGGGCACACAGCAUGCUGAGGCACUUUGUACAGCUGCUACCUGAAGAUCUGACCCACAACAAACGAUGCUACAAAAGAAAGCUCAAUUAUCAAAACUUUAUUUCAGCAUUGGAUGCUCAACAGUGUGCUCUGCAUAUCUGCCUAAGCAGCCAAUUUGCUGCUAGGUAAGCAAAGAAUUUCUCAUCCUCUGAUCCUGUUUGUACAGUGCUGAACUCUAGCACACAAGAGGGUGAACUGUGAAUACUGUGAAACUCAAUUGAUUAAAUCACUGACUGCUUUUAGUAAUAGCAUUUCUGUUAAGAGGAAGCACUUCCAUUUACUCAGCUGUUUAUCUAGCUUAAGCUGAAGUGGGAAUACACAUACUGCAUGGAGAAAAACAUAUAUGGCCUAGCCAGCCUGCUUCUUUUUGGAGAGAAGUCUCUUUAUGUUUAGCAGAUGAUAAAUCCUUUUGGAAUACUCAAUAUUUAAUAUCUGCUACUUAGUCCUAGGCUUUUGUCAUAUUUAAAAGGAAAGGAAAAUAACAUGUCACUUUCCAAGGCCUAGAAUAGUAGUCCUGUGCUUGGUAUAGAUAGUGAUUAAUAACAAGAAAUUCUUCUACUCAGAUCUUUUUCCAUUUCCUCCAGUAUUGUUUUUAUCAGUCUGAGAAUCCUGGAGAGCUUUCGCUUGGCCUGCUAUUGGCAGAGCAUGCUACUCACCUGCCCCAGCAGAGUUGUGUGCAUGGGAAGGACAGAUUUCAGCCACUCGGCCUGCAGACUCCUGGAGGCAUCUGAUACAAUUACACUUGUUCAUGUUGUCUCUAAAAUUCAAGAUUCAGCAAUUAAACUGGGAUCUCUCACAUUGUAAACGAAGUCCAGGAUGAGAUUGCUGAUAAAUGCAAAACACCAGGAAAAAAGAUAUCAGACGCCUUACAUCCCACCACAGACCUCUGAGCAGCCCCAGCAUCUUCUCCAGUUGCGUUUCCAGUCCAAAGCCAUGCAGUUUCCUCAUGCCAAUCAGAUAGUUUUGCAUUAACACACUGAUGAGGAUUUGAGUCUGGAUGGUGGAGAAUUACCUGCAACUUACUUAAUAUUGCUGCCACUUCCACCACAAAUGCCAGACAGAAAGAACACUGCAGGAAAAAACGAGAAGUUACAGGUGUGCAUGAGUCAACAGCGGUUAUUUUUUCAGUCUGACAGCAGCACUGCACUUUGUGGGGAACAAAGACAAACAUAAGCUAGAUCUCAUUGGAGCAGAGCAGCCAGCUUUGAAUGCUGUGCCCUAAGUGUGCCUCAGACAGGCUACAGCUAGAAAGCCAGUCAGAGCAGCCACCUGUUCAGAAAACAACAUGCAGGGAGAGAACAGAGAAACAGAGGUGGCUGGCCUGACAGAGACCACAAAAUCUGUAAGUGCUUUCAGCUAAAUGUUAACAAUACCAAAAGGAAAUACCUUUUUCCCAGUCAUUGCCCGUAUGAAAAGAAAUGGAAGAUUCAGUCAGACGAUAUGAUGAGCAAGGACAGCAAGGUAAUGGAAGAAAUUAUUGGGGAGCAGAAAUGCCAUUAUCAGGUACCUCAAGAGCAGCCCCCACAAACACCUGCUCAGAAGAACACUGUGGCUGACCCUGCCCUGAAUGGAAUUAGAGAACAGCUCACUGUCCAUACUUGCCAGUCAAGGUCUGAUUUUUUUUCCCUGUUCCAUCACUAUUUGUUUGUUUUACUAUCAUGUCUAUCAAGUCUAACCUCUUGACUUUUAUGCCAGGUCCUGGGGCAGAAAAAACACGUGAGAGAAAUUCCACAAGAGGCACAAAAAUGUAAUACAAGAGAUAACAGCAAAAUAGACAGGUAAGAAGAUCCAAGGAAACAGCAAGAGAGCACUGAGGGCCCCACCUGCAUGCAAGCAGAUAACCAAGGACUCCUGCAAUUGUUACAGUAAAGUAAGGGUUUCUUAGAAGAGGCUGUUCAUGUGAUAUUCUUCUUCAUGUGAAAAUAACAACCUUAAAUGCAACAAGCAGACACAGAGGCUGGCACACUGCAAUCUGGGACAAGAAAGGGCUGCAAUAUCAAACCACUACCCCUGCACAACACCACUCUGAAUGGAGUAAAUACCUCACAUUAGGGAAAACAGUAUUGGAAGGAGUGAUUAAUUAGUGAAACGGUGCAGAAGUUUUACACGGGCAGAUGGCCAAGGAACUCGUCUCUAAAAAUCUCACAUAGAAAUAUGGAAGUCUAGACAACCCUAGUAAGGAUUAGAGAGAAUCUUAUUUCAGACGAUGCCUGAUUUGAAUUUGCACGAUAAGCAAAUAAGGCUGUUUCAUCUGCUGUGCCUGAGACAGUGAUGAAGGAGGACUGGCAGAGGAAGAUGAGAAUCUCCGCUUUAAUUGCGUGAUGCAUGAGCUGAUGCUUCAUUUACACAGACAACAUGAGAUUUUAACUUCUGACAGAAAACAGAGCCAGGUAACACCAGAACUGCUGGUAAGACCAUUGGAUUCGUGCUCAUGCAAAAAUGAGGGACACGAGAUGAAUGACUGGCCUUCCACCACCUACAGAAAACCCAAAGAGGGACAAACACGACGUGGUCAAGAAAGAUGUAGGAAGGUGCAGAAAAAAAACCUGGUAGCAACCAGUCCCAAAACCAUUGGAAAACAGGUCUAAGAACAUGGUUACCUGUGGCAGAAGCAAGAUGACCAAGGAAACUUCUGCUUCUUGGCUCUCAUACUGGGGCGUAAACUUCUUUUAUUUUUUUUUCUUGGCUUUGGACAUUACUGUACAUUGCAGACUGACAGGUGUAGAUUCAAGAAAAGCAUAAGCAAAACCCUUCCUGCUCUGAGAUAAAGCACAUUUUUUUGAUUUGAACAUCACUACAGUCAAGCUGUGAAUCACAACCUCAAAUGAUUCAUCAGAAAUAUCAUCUGCAAAUGGCUAUUACAAGAUCAUCUGUCUCAAGACGGAAUGGAUGUCCAAACGGAUUCACCAAAUUUAGCAAUACAUUACAUGUGAAUGCCUAACAUUCAGCAGGCUUGCCCACAGGAAACACACUUCCUUGUAUUUCACUGGAUUUUGUUCACCUCCAAUUUUAUGAGGGGCCGAGGCACCACAGAAGCAUCAAGUAGAAAAUGGGGUGUAUGCCAGUAAGUUUUAAAAUGCAAUACAUCCUUCUGGAGGGCUGAGGACAAGACAAUCAUAUCAGCAUUUAUAUAUUCCUGCACAAUUACAGCAAAAUCUUUUGUUCAGAUUGCAGAACUCAGCUGUGUCAAUUGAAUCACUCUGAUUGAACUAAUUGAAUUUCAAUUGCUCAAGUCUGGUUUUGAACAGUUUUGUAUGACAUUCAAAAGACUGAAGACUUCAUUUAUAAAUGGAAGCGUGUGUGGGGAGGGACAAGGAAUGAUUUGGCUGUUACCCAAAAACUAACAAAUGUGUAAUAUAUUUCACUGGAGAAGCAUACUGAGGUUUAUCUUUCUGUGAAGGCCUCCAUUUCAGUGCUGCAUGAAGUGUUCCUGGGUUAGGGUACCUUCCCAUGGGGAAGGAGGUAGGGACUCUCACCCCAGCAGCAACUGAAGUAAAACUGCAUGUUACCUGCCCAAGUCCUGCCUCACCCAUGUAGCUACCACUGUUUUAGCAGACUUGAAACAGUUGAAUUACAUCUACAGAUGACACAGAGUGCAUACUGCUUGUAACACUCCUGCUUUUGCUGAUCACAAACUCCACCUGCACCUAGAAGGGAAAAUGCCAUAGCGUGACCAGCAGAAAUUCUCAAACAUUUCCAGAGAAACAUAUGUUUAAUUAGGCUUUAUUUAAAUGCCAGGCUAGAUCUCACUGCUGAUGUCUACCAGCAGCUUCUGUGCAAAUUUGUUCAUUGUUCUUUAUCCUCACUGCAGAAAUGGAACUGUAAGUGGCUCACAAGCUAAAAUCAAAACGUUCACAAAGCCAAUGGCAACAAUUCCAUCAACAAUACGAGCCAGGCCACCACACCUGGGACCUGUUCAGCCUCCUCCUCUGCACCAAUUUAUUCUAUUUAUUCCAGUAAAAUACCUCCCCUUUAAAGGCAUUUGUGGUGGAGAUCCCUAAGAAUCCUGCCCUCUAAGUUUCUAAAAAUGCCCUUCUACUUUAUCUUUAAAAUUGACUUCCAGGCUAAAGAGUUUACUUCCUUCCCUUUCACUUUUCACAACAAAGACAACAUCCACAUAUUCUAGCACAAGUCUUCAAUUUGUUAAAUUUUCAUUUUCUUCCUGAAUGUCUUAAGAGCUGCAUCUAUUUUUAUAACUGGGCAUGAAAAUGGCAGAAGACACACGAUAUAUGCAAAGACCAGCCUGCACGUCCAAGCAGCACCAGGCACUUUCAGAUGGAUAGCAAAUUUGUUGUCCGUUCAGAUUUGUUAAGUAUACACACACACACACAGGUUUCCCACCUGAUGUGCAGAUCACCUCAUCUCAAUUUACUCAUCUUUAAAACAGACUCAGUUCUUCCUCCUGCUUUGUACAUCUCACAGGUAUUACUCAGUUAUCAAUCCAUUGGUCAGAUUUCUCUCUCCCUCAAUGACAUUUUGAACCACUAAAAGAAUUGCAGAACCCUGUCUCAGGGAGCUGGGUAAAACAAGAGUUUCGUAUCCCAUUAUCACCUGUGAUUUACCCUGGAGUUUAACUGUUGAAUUUUUUGUUUAACUGGGCAAAAAAAGCAGUGGGCACACAUCACACUACUCUACACACUAGCCAAAAAAUACCCAAACAAAAAACCCCAAUUGAAACACUAAAUGACACUCAGAACCUGCUCUAACUUUUGGUCGUCCCCAAGGUGGCAACGCAAGUGGAUGUGAUUACCUUUGUAGGCCCCUUCCAAUCAAACUACUGUCUUUGCUAACCUCCCUUUGGAGACUGUGAAUACCUAAUUGCUGAGGAGAGGGGAAAAAAAAAGUCAGCUCUGAGGUGAACACUUUCUUCUAUAACAUGUAAAAUAGUAUUUCUCAUUUUAAAACUAGAACUAUUUUUACUUGAUAGGCUUUAAACUGAGAUUAUUUUAAUUUUUACAACGUAAUCAGUUCUCACCCUGCUUACCAUACUAGAAAAAAGCUCAAAGAUGCCAUGGGAAAAGGACUGAACUACCAUUUUCAGGCUUGAGGUUUUUGUUAUUAAAACCAAAAAGCAACCACAACCUUCAAGCAAACUGAGAAUCUUAAUAUUUAAUGGCAUUUUCAAAAAUGUCAUGUGACUGUCAUUCCAUAAACUAAUAGCCACCUAUGACAAAGACAAUAUGCAAUACAACUUUCAAAAAAGGUGACUUUAUUAGGGCUGAGCCUCAGCGUACACAUAUAUACAUGCUGGAAACAUAAGCCACAGAACUACACUACUUACUGUCACUCAGGUUGCAGUCACCAGGUGCUUGGGAUGAGCAGAGUCGCUUGCUGCACAAGGAGAAACUCUGCAGUGUUAUUUUAGGACUCCUCUUGUGCCCGAAUUUAAGCCUGUGGAACUCGUACCAUCAGUCAACAGGGACAACAAUGAGCAAUGAUUACAGAAUGUUUUCAUAAAUUAGCUAACAAUCUUCUGAUACCUUUGGAUGCAGGAAAUUGUGAUCUCCUCCUUAAUCUCUUUCUUGAAUCGAGCCACAAACACUGUUUGGCAUUCUUCAGCAACAAUCUGAGGGAGGCACGUUAUUAAGAACAGGAGAUGGAAAUGGCAGAAAUGAAAUCAAAGGUAAAUAAAAGGUUGAAAAAGAGCAAGAUCUGGAAACUCUUUGAAGAGGAUAAGGAAGACUGAAAGAAAUUAGGAACACUGCAUAUGUAUUUACAGUUUACACUUAGAACAUCUAGGAAGGAAGCUAAGCCUUCUCUCAAAUAGGACAAAAUUAUUAUUUCUACUGCACAGGUGAAAUGCAAUGAGCUGCUAAUGCAGAUGUUGGGGCUAGGCAGUUAAACAGAUUGCUCUGACAGUAAGUAUCAGAGUCCCUGAAUUCUAGGAAAUUCUGCUGUCUUUGAUGUGAGACUGAUGUAAGACUUUUGGCAAUCCACUUCAAUUUUAAAUGCAAAUUACGUUUGUUGAGUGCUAGAGAAGUGAGUUUUGAUGAUGCACAUUAGUGACAGAAAAUAACAUUUUGUGGUUAGUAUUUCAAAAUUCCCCUCACUCUUCAGCAAAAGCUUUUCCUCGCUAGGUCAAGCCAUUUACAUGAGAAAGAAGCCUGGGUCCAGCAGAACGUUUCUUCCCACUCUUCUGUCCCAGUGCUUCAAGAGCUCCUUCCUCCAAAUUCCAUGCUGGAUCAACUCUGAAAUGUGUCACUUGGCUUAAAUGGAAACAAACACUGAACCACAAGUCAGAUGUUUCAGAUUACAGAACGUGAUUAAAAAAAUACAGAAUGACAGAAAGCUCUAUCAGAACAAAAAGUUUAAAACCUUAUUUAAUAGAAUACUGAAGCAAAUGGAUUUCUUACAAACCUUUUGUGCUGAUAAUGUUAAAAUUGAAGGUGCUCAAGUCCUUGGUUUUCCUUGCCUGAAUUUGACAGGUUUUACUCAUUAUCAGAUUAUUUAAAUCCCUCUGUAUCACUACUCUUACUAUUCCUCACAGAAAACACAUAACAAAACCUUGCCACUCCCAAUUCCAAAGUUUUUCCUCAGCCUGAACACUUCAGGAAAUCCUGUGAAGGUUUUAUAUCAAUUUGAAACCUAGCAGAAACUGCUCCAAUCGCAUACAGCAGCCUGGAGUUGGCACUGCUGCUGCCAUCGUUAUCACUUACACUCUGACCAGCAGAGUACAGGCCAUGACAGGCUUUUUUAGCACUGGCAGAAAUUACUACAGCAGCUGCACUGGUAAUUACGCCAGUCACUAUGCCCCAUGAAUCACAUUCCUCUUCAAGUCCCCUGCCCAAGAACUGUCCUCACUUUCGUCUUCGCUACUUAAACUGUCAGACUCAAAAGCUCUCACAUCCACUAGAGCAAGUUUUGCACAGUACUCUUUCUACCAUAGGCGCUUCUUAUUUUGACUAUAAGAAAGAAAUACACUAUGUUUGUCUAGGAUAGUUUUGCUAAAUUAAAACCUAAUCAUUCUGUAAAGCUUAAAAACUACAAGUACAUUUCCUUUUUUCCUCCCACUGAAUAGAGUAAAACUUGUCAAAUGCUCCUGAAGUUUUCAUAAAGCCCCAGCAGAACAGCAAGGCUCCUUUAGCUCCAGUUGCACUCACAGCCUUGGAGUGCAGGCCUCGUAAAUACCAGCAUCGCGGUCUGUGUGCUUUAGGUUACCCAAACAGCUGUUGUAAAAAUACGAAACAAAAACUGUGUUUAUUCCUAAAUACACAGAUACAGGCUCAGGUAAAAAGAACGGAUUUUCUAUUUUCAGUUGAAUUCUCCAGAUCUUCAGGAUCUCCAGGAUCCUUCAGGAGAUCUCCAGAUCUUCAGGAACCUUCCUGUAAACUCUUUGAUAAGCUUCAGAGUACACUGUUUCACUUCAUUUCCUACUUAUUAAAUGUAUUUUACUUGAAUAUUAAUACUUCAAUUUCUUAACCUCUUUAUACCACGAGUUGCCAUUUUUUUCCAACCUCUGAUUUUGUUUUAUUCUACCACAGUACAACUGAGGUCAUCACGUUUUGCAAAGGUGUUUUGUCACAGUUUUGCAAGAACAUCUGAGGCUCUUUUCUUGCUUCUGUGUUAAUCCACACCGUUCUAUGACAGGCUAGAAAUAUAUGUUCUCUAUUCCUCCUCACACAGGUCUAACAAGUUACUGCAUUUUGAUUUUUCACAAACCUCAGGAAAGCUGCACAGCCUGCUUAUUUGACUCAGAUUCCUUCAGUUCAUAUACACGUAUUUUCCUCUUCCAAAUAAUUCUGAAAGUCUACCUCACGUUUCUAGUUUACAACACUGACUUAAUUCCUAAGCUUUUAUAAGAGUUUUGAAGUCAGCCAUGCACAGGAUAGCUUUUAAAAGGAAGACCAACAGCCAUACAAUGCUUAUUUACAAAAUAGGUAGCACGUGCACAGAAAGUGGAACCGCUGCUCUCCACAAUUAUUUGUUGAACCCUGCACAGGGAUCUUUCUCACAGCAACACUAAGCAUCAAAGCCAUGAACAAAAUCACUUAUCUGUAAUAAUAUCAGCCUACAUUUGUAACAAAACGUUCAAUGCUUCAGAAAAUAAACAAAGAAUAGCUUGGUCACCCAUCAAAUGCUGAAUAACACACUUAAAUACUCUUAAGGACUGUCACAAGAAAAAGGACAAUAUGCAGUACAUCUGCUGCUAAAUACACCUCCAAAACUCAGCUAAGCCCUCUCUUAUAAGCACAGCAGUAACAACAAGCUUGCGCAAGAAGAAAAAAGAAAACACAUAUUUGGCAACCAGAAACUGAGGACUAACGGCUGCAGAAAGUGGUUUUAAAAACUAGUGUCUAAGUUACGGGAGGUGGCAGGCUGACGGGUAAAUGUUGAUCAGGCUACCACUGCCAACAGCAAAAAUGUGUGACUCUUGAUUUCUUUCCUCAUUUUGCUAAACAUUAUGAAUUUCCAGGCUCUGCUGGUAUGCGAGAUACUGUGCAAAUAAAAGGGAGAUAACACUCUAUGCUUAACUCCUGGGGAACAAAACAAGUUUUGAGACAUGCCAGUACUCAUCUCUUCUCAGUUGAGCAACUUAGAACUACUUCCCAUUAAAUACAUCACUUUAAAUUACCUUUUUUUACGUUCUUCUCUUACUUGAAACAGUGUUAGAAAACAGCGUUGUGACACAAACAUGCAGCACUUGCAAAUAGUAAGUGCAGAAAUGAACAGUAAUCACUCAUGUGGCAGGAGUUAUACAGUCACAGAAGUCACCACUGAAAGAUACUUUGUUUUAAUGUAACUCUGCUUUGAGUUUGACAAGCUAAAAUAAAGGUAAAUAAUACACAAAAACCCUUCUGGGUUUAGGCUUCACUCUGCUUGCACCUCACUAACCACUAUUAGGAGUGAUUUAAAUAACUGAACAAGUAACAGAAGGCACAAAACCAACACCCAAGCCUCUUACAAUGGCAGUUAGCUUCGAUACUUCUGCAACCAACACCUCGAGGUCUUCAUUUACUUUUUCUACCGACAGCACUCCCAUUCUAAGGGUCUCAAAGCAUAAAUGUGUUGUCAGAACACGUAGAUUGUUUUCCAGUGCUCAUUUUUGCCCCCUUUCCCCUCAGAAUUCCUGGAUACCAGUGAUCAAUAUUGUUCUCACUUCCUGCUCAUGACCAACCUUCCAGCUACGCUGGAGGGGUGGAGAAGUGAGGGCAGGAAGAGGGACAAUUCACAAACAGAGUUUUCUCUUUCCAGUUUCUGUAUUUACAUACACAGAAAUGACUGAGGAAGAUGUUACACAAAACAUGAAGGAACGCAUUGUAUAGAUGCAGCAGGGACAAGCCAGAUACCAGCAGAUCUACAAAGGAGUAUUACAAGACAGAAAACAAUUGGCAGCUCAUUUCAGCAAAUGCUCAACUACCCAGUAUGUUUACAGACAUGGGAAAUCCUCCUGCAUACUUCUUAAAGUAUAGUUGCUUUCCAUAUAAACUUAAAGUAAAGCUGUAGCACUUCACAUUAAAAAAAGAAAAGGGGGAAGAGAUGUGCAUAGCAAAAUAAACAUUUGAGAUGAAAUCACUUAACUGCAGUUACACUAAAUAGCUUUUCAACAUUAGAUCAGAAAAUACCUAAAAGAUAAUCAUAAAGAAGCUUGUAAAAACAUAAUUCAAUAAAGUUUCAGCAUCUUCCAGAAGUGAGUGCCUUUAGCAUUUCAGAUUUGGGCCAAAGAUCCUGACACAUGAUCAGCUUCUAUGUGCAAACCCGUACUUACAAUAUUAAUAUAUUAUAUGUUAUCACAUAAUUAACAACAGAUGACUUUCAGCACCAAAGGAAUUGGAUAAAUAUGUGAACCACAUUCAAAAUCAAACAUUAACUGCAGUGAUUACUCACAACAUCAACUUCUUUGUACUUGAACAUUAAAAACCAGGAGGUACAGAUAAGAACAGAGUAUCUUCAUCUUCCAACAGGAGACUAACCACGGGUCCUCAUGACUACUUCCCACCACGGUGAGCCAAGCUCAGACCACCACUGCUGCUCAGCUCUGUUAAGGACUCUGACAAGACAGGAUUCCAUAGGUUUGUCAGUAUACAGCAUUUCCAAUCAAUGACACCUACAACAGAUAGAGGUGACUGUUUCCUUCAUUGAAACACACAAUAAAAAUUCCUCAAUUAAGACUUAACAUUCCUGCACCAAAACGUAACAGAUUUUUCCUCUAUUACAAAAACAGCAAACCUGAAUCUUUAUGACAUAUCAUUUUCUAAGCUAAUUAAUUUUCUUAUGCCAUAAGUGUAACAGUCAAACCAGUGAGCAGACAUUGUUUGUUUUUAAGAAAAGCUGUACUCUGCAGUUACUCAAAAUGCAUGUACCAUUGCGAAAGGACACUUCAACAUCUGAUCCCCAGAACAUUUCCAUGCAUUUUUAGUUCUCCCAACAAUUUUCAAGUCUUCUAAAAUCCUUACAACACAAGCAGCAUAUGCUUGCAUGGGGCAGAGGGGAAGAACCAACAUUUAAACUUUUCCUUUUGGCUUUGAACUUUGAAUAAAUUUCCCCCCCAUAUUUUGGACAGGAGCAGUUUAUAGUUUUAAGGAACACACUCUUAUUUUGUAAGAAAGCAAAAGGAAAAAAAAAAUCUCUAGAUCCUCAGAAACUCAUUUUGUCCCCAUGAUGAUAGUUUAGUUAAUACCUCUUGUUACAAUCAGAAAGGUCAGCGACACAGGAGUGUAACAGCAAAGGGACUAGUGGAGUGGGAAUGGUGUUACAAAGAAAAAGGAAAGGUGCUCACCCAUCUCUGAAGCUCUAGGCUUGCAGGAGACUCCACAAGGGAGGGAUCUCCAACCAGAGCUCCUACCCCAGUGGCAGUCAGUCCUUAAAUGAGGUCUAAGAGAGGUGCAGCCAGGCUCCACCCCUUCCUGUCUCACAGCUGAAUUGCCUUCACCUGCGUUCCCAGGGCUGACCGGUCCUUUCCCCAGCUGCUCAAUCAGUGGUUCAGGCCAGGACUCAAUGGUUACCAUACACUUACAGAUGCUCUACUUUUCCAAAGAUCUUCACCUGUGCUGUUAAACCACAUUCCAGACCAAGACAUCCUUGAAGAAACUUCAACCUUGGGGUCACCUUUGUUCACAUCUGUAAAGGAGAAUUUUAAACAGAGGUAAAACAGAAUUCACCUUAAGCCAGAAGUUUGAAAACUUUGCAAAGUUUACAUCCUAAAAUACUGCUGUAGUAAUUUUUAGCACACCGAAACCAAAACAACUCAUCCAUACCACAGAGAAAGCAGAAAUCCAAUGGCUCUAACAGCUAAACUAUAGAGAGACUCGUACUGUAGAAUCACAGAAUGGCCUGGGUUGAAAAGGACCGCAGUGAUCAUCAGUUCCAGCCCCCUGCUAUGUGCAGGGUCGCCAACCAGCAGACCAGGUUGCCCAGAGCCACAUCCAGCCUGGCCUUGAAUGCCUCCAGGGAUGGGGCAUCCACAACCUCCUUGGGCAACCUGUUCCAGUGCAUCACCACCCUAUGAGAGAAAAACUUCCUCCUAAUAUCUAACCUAAACCUCCUCUGUCUCAGUUAUGUCAUAGAACAGUCUAAGUUGGAAGGAAUCUUAAAGAUCAUUUAUUUCUGAUCUGUGGUGCCCCCCACCAGACCAGGCUGCCCAGGGCCCCAUCCAGCACAGCCUUGGGCACUGCAGGGAUGGGGUACCCACAGCUCUCUGCUCAGCCUGACCUCACCGCCCUCUGAGAGAAGAAUUCCUUCCCAACAACUAACUUAAGUCUCCCCUCUUUAAUUUUAAAGCCACUUCCCCUGAUCCUAUCACUAUCAUACAGUUUAAACAGUUACACCCCUCCUGCUUAUAAGCUCCCUUCAAGUACUGGAGGGCUGCAAUAAGACCUACCUCCAUCACAAAAACAUUAACCUGCUGCAAAUAGAGACAGCUGUGGAAUUAAGGUUGUGUUUGUUUUUUUUACCUCACACUGCAUCCAGCUCUAUCUCUCAUUCCCACCGAACUCACACUGAGCUGCCCGCUGCACCCACUGCAGCUCAUCCAGAUGAUGCGGCUAAGAUAUACACCCUAUAAAUGAAAAUAUUCCCGUAGACAGCCUAGCAGCAAUUCUCACUUUGUUAACAAACAUAAACGUCUCAAACCACUCUCACAGCCUUCACGCUGCCUCCUGUGCCUGCUGAGCGCACAGGGAACCCCACCAAGGGCCGCGUGCCGCUCACCUCAGCGUGCUGCCGGCCUCCAGCACCGCACGGACAGGCCGGACCCGGCGCAGACAGCGAGCCCUGCCAGGACAUUUUUGGCACCUCGUUUCAGCAGCCCGCCUGGCCAAAGAUACGACAGAACGCACCUCUUAUUGGCAACGCGGACCCGACGGCCACACGGAGCCGGGCUUCAUGUGACACCUCCGCUCACCGCAGCCGCCAGCACCUCCGCAGCACCUUUACGCAGAGGAAACCGCCCGGCCCGGGCCUCCCAAGCACCAGCACCGCCACCGCCUCCUCGGCCGGACAUCCUUCUCAGCACCCGCACGUAACCCGCACCGCACGGAGCCCCCAACGCUCCCCCCUCCCCCAGCGGCG